Molecule: ribosomal RNA, 253 nt
Filed under: uncultured bacterium
Lineage: Bacteria
Description: partial 16S ribosomal RNA
Rfam family: Bacterial small subunit ribosomal RNA
Source: RNAcentral
UACAGAGGGUGCAAGCGUUGUUCGGAAUUAUUGGGCGUAAAGGGCGCGUAGGCGGUUCGGCAAGUCUCUAGUGAAAUCUCUGGGCUCAACUCAGAGUCUGCUGGGGAAACUGCCGGGCUCGAGUGUGGGAGAGGAGAGUGGAAUUCCCGGUGUAGCGGUGAAAUGCGUAGAUAUCAGGAAGAACACCCGUGGCGAAAGCGGCUCUCUGGAACGGUACUGACGCUGAGACGCGAAAGCGUGGGGAGCGAACAGG